AUACCUGUUCGAGCGUCAUUACACCCCUCAAAGUUAACUCUUUGGCGUUGGGCAGUGCCUAAAGGCAUGCCUUAAAAUCAGCGAUGGUGAUAUUCAACCGCAGGUGCACAAACGUCGUCUAGCUGGGGGAAUGUUGGCAGUCAAUUGAUGAAUUUCUAAAUGUUGACCUCGGAUCAGGUAGGAUUACCCGCUGAACUUAA
This 200-nucleotide unclassified non-coding RNA is filed under the name soil metagenome. Its description in RNAcentral is "partial contains internal transcribed spacer 2 and large subunit ribosomal RNA". The record is from RNAcentral.